UACGGAGGGUGCGAGCGUUAUCCGGAAUCACUGGGUUUAAAGGGUGCGUAGGCGGCUCGGUAAGUCAGGUGUGAAAGUUUGCGGCUCAACCGUAAAAUUGCUUUUGAUACUGCGGGGCUAGAAUUAGGAUGAGGUCAGCGGAAUGUGGCAUGUAGCGGUGAAAUGCAUAGAUAUGCCAUAGAACACCAAUUGCGAAGGCAGCUGGCUAGACCUGGAUUGACGCUGAGGCACGAAAGCGUGGGGAGCGAACAGG
Molecule: ribosomal RNA, 253 nt
Filed under: uncultured bacterium
Lineage: Bacteria
Description: partial 16S ribosomal RNA
Rfam family: Bacterial small subunit ribosomal RNA
Source: RNAcentral